AUGAACCAGAACAACACCAAGAGCACUAAGCUUACCGCAAAACAAUGUCCACCAAGGGAGGUACUUGAACAUGCACAGCAACACGGCCGACACCAGGGAACACCACCGAAGACGAACACAGAGGAAGCAGGACGACAGCAACACAAACCAUCGUCGAGCCCGACCGGCCGGACAACCACCAUCAACAUUCCGACAGCAAGCAACACCCACACAACAAUCAUGUUGACCCCAAAGAUGACGCCUUCAAGAAGGGUUGCGACGCUGGUUGCGCCGCCACCAUCCAUACAGGAGGAUGUGGACUUGGGUUUCCCCCGGGGUCUCGACGAGGAGGGUGCAAACAACAAAAACAAUGACGCCUUCAAGGAGGUUAGCGGCGCCCACAGGCGUCGCCGCCGCCGACUCCAGUUGUAG
RNAcentral lists this ribosomal RNA (411 nucleotides) under Triticum aestivum (bread wheat). RNAcentral describes it as "partial small subunit ribosomal RNA". Lineage: Eukaryota; Viridiplantae; Streptophyta; Magnoliopsida; Poales; Poaceae. The record is from RNAcentral.